This 466-nucleotide ribosomal RNA is filed under the name uncultured bacterium. Its description in RNAcentral is "partial 16S ribosomal RNA". It matches the Rfam family "Bacterial small subunit ribosomal RNA", at positions 28 to 507 of the family's 1533-position model. The record is from RNAcentral.
GACGAACGCUGGCGGCGUGCUUAACACAUGCAAGUCGAACGGAAAGGCUCCAGCUUGCUGGCGUACUCGAGUGGCGAACGGGUGAGUAACACGUGGGUAAUCUGCCCUGCACUCUGGGAUAAGCCUGGGAAACUGGGUCUAGUACUGGAUAUGACCUUUCUCCUUAUGGGGUUUGGUGGAAAGUUUUUCGGUGUAGGAUGAGCCCGCGGCCUAUCAGCUUGUUGGUGGGUGAUGGCCUACCAAGGCGACGACGGGUAGCCGGCCUGAGAGGGUGAUCGGCCACAUUGGGACUGAGAUACGGCCCAGACUCCUACGGGAGGCAGCAGUGGGGAAUAUUGCACAAUGGGCGGAAGCCUGAUGCAGCGACGCCGCGUGAGGGAUGACGGCCUUCGGGUUGUAAACCUCUUUCAGCAGGGACGAAGCGUAAGUGACGGUACCUGCAGAAGAAGCACCGGCUAACUAUGUG